This 470-nucleotide ribosomal RNA is filed under the name uncultured Desulfosporosinus sp. RNAcentral describes it as "bacterial SSU rRNA". It matches the Rfam family "Bacterial small subunit ribosomal RNA", at positions 28 to 447 of the family's 1533-position model. Lineage: Bacteria; Bacillati; Bacillota; Clostridia; Eubacteriales; Desulfitobacteriaceae. The record is from RNAcentral.
GACGAACGCUGGCGGCGUGCCUAACACAUGCAAGUCGAACGGUCUAAUGCUUAACACUGAGUAUUCAGUAAAAAAGCUGAAUGUUGAGUGUUAAGUAUUAGAUAGUGGCGGACGGGUGAGUAACGCGUGGGUAACCUACCCAUAAAUCCGGGACAACCCUUGGAAACGAGGGCUAAUACCGGAUAAUCUUAAGAAGUGGCAUCACUUUUUAAGGAAAGGUGGCCUCUGAAGAUGCUACCGAUUAUGGAUGGACCCGCGUCUGAUUAGCUAGUUGGUGGGGUAAAGGCCUACCAAGGCGACGAUCAGUAGCCGGCCUGAGAGGGUGAACGGCCACACUGGGACUGAGACACGGCCCAGACUCCUACGGGAGGCAGCAGUGGGGAAUCUUCCGCAAUGGACGAAAGUCUGACGGAGCAACGCCGCGUGUAUGAUGAAGGUCUUCGGAUUGUAAAGUACUGUCUUUGGGGAAG